This is a long non-coding RNA of Mytilus trossulus (common blue mussel), 274 nucleotides long. RefSeq lists it as uncharacterized. The record is from RefSeq and is a predicted model, not a curated record. Lineage: Eukaryota; Metazoa; Mollusca; Bivalvia; Mytilida; Mytilidae. The transcript has 3 exons.
CAAACGCCAUUUUGAAAACUAUAAAAACUGGAAAAGUAAAUGUCAAAUAUUUGUGAUUUUACUUUCAGUUUCAUAUGACUUUAUCAUAUGUUUACGAAACUGAAAGUUGAAUUAUCUAAGAUAAAGAAAGAAACUAAAAUAUGGCACGAGAGAAUAAACCUCGGAAAAGAGAUAAACUCGUCGAUGAAACCAAAGUUUCAACAAAAGGAAAACGUAAAAGCAAGACAAAGUUGUCCUUUAACACAGCAAGUAGUUCCUUACAAGAGUUGGUUGG